RNAcentral lists this microRNA precursor (61 nucleotides) under Drosophila erecta. RNAcentral describes it as "microRNA der-mir-9680 precursor". The record is from miRBase by way of RNAcentral. Lineage: Eukaryota; Metazoa; Arthropoda; Insecta; Diptera; Drosophilidae.
AAAUCUCUUCAAGCCGAAGGUCUAUGUAAGUUUGGUUGGAAUUCUGUGAGAAGAGAUUUCU